CGACGACGACGACGAGCGGUCUCCAGAACUGACCUGAGGUCUAGUGUGAUCAGUCUGCCUGCCUCUGUGAUCCCCCGCAGCACUGGCUGGAAGUCCGCCGCGUGUCAGUGAGGAGCUGCUGCAGAAGGAAGAAGAAGCGGCGUGGGGACCUGGGAGGCAGGAGCAAGCAAGAAGAGGAAGCGGAAGCGUGCAGAUGCGGGGGGGAAGGAGAGAGGCUCCCUGGGCAAAGCACCUGUCCCGUUAGCAGGGGCACAGUCACGUUUGAGUUGAGAGCUGCCGGCGCCUUUGGUGACCAGGCUGGCGUUGUGCUGGGCGACCUCCCCGUAAGCGGGGCUCGGGUCUUUGCUGUAGUUGGCCUUUUGCCUUGCUGCUCCUUUGGCUGCCUGGGGAGCGUGGCCCCCUGUAACGGAGGGCGAGAGCCACCUCUCCGCACCUGAGUGGGAAAUGGAGCUCGCCGGACCCCAAGGCCACCCUGUAAGCAGGGUAGUGCCGUUCCCUGCCCCUCUUCCUCCCCCGGCCCCUCGCAUCGUUGCCUGAUGGUGGCUUGUCAACGCGACGGCCCCGUACUCGG
This 571-nucleotide long non-coding RNA is filed under the name Gallus gallus (chicken). Lineage: Eukaryota; Metazoa; Chordata; Aves; Galliformes; Phasianidae. The record is from RNAcentral.